CCAAAAAUUGGUUAAAGAACAAAUCGUAGAAACAAUAAUUUCAUUGAAGAAAAUGACCAUGAUGAGACAUCCUUUCAAAACCUAUGGGAUGCAGCCAAACCAGUACUCAGGGGGAAAUCUAUACCCUUGAGUUCAUAUAUUAAUAAAUUAGGGAGGGCAGAGGUCAAUGAAUUGGACAUGCAAAUUUAAAAAUUAGAAAGUGAAUAAUUUAAAAAUCCUCAGAUAAAGGCUAAAUUAGAGAUCCUAAAAAUCAGAAGAGAAAUUAAUAUAAUUGAAGUUAAAGAACUAUUGAUUUAAGAAAUAAGACUAGAAGCUGGUAUUUUGAAAAAACAAAUAAAAUAGACAAAGAACUGUUCAAUCUAAUUUAAAAAAGGAAAGAAGAAAACCAAGGUGAUAGUUUCCAAGAUGAAAAGGGAGACCUCACCUCUAAUGAAGAGGAAAUUAAGGCAAUCAUUAAAAACUAUUAUGCCCAAUUGUAUAGCAAUAAAUAUGGCAAUCUAGGUGAUAGGGAUGAAUAUUUACAAAAAUACAAAUUGUCUAGACUAACAGAGGAAGAAAUAGAAUACCUAAACAACCCCAUAUCAGAAAAUUAAAUUGAACAAGCCAUCAGAGAACUCCCUAAGGAAAAAAAAAAUCCCUAUUUUAAGACUCUAUGCUACUUGGAGAUUCCUUCUGUUCUAUGUAUAUGAGUUCCCUAUUUCUUUUCCCACACUUACCCUUCCUUGCUUCUGUUUUCUUGUCCAGUCCCUACCUGCUCUUUCUAUAUAAUACUAUCAAUCAAAUUACCACUGAGACAGGGCAAUAAAGUGAUAUAGUGUAUUGAGAGUCAGGUCUAGAGAUCUGGGUUUAGAUCUGGCCUCAGACACUUUCUAGUUGUGUGACCCUGGGCAAGUCACUUAACUCUCAUUGCCUAGCCCUUACUGAUCUUUUGCCUUAGAACCAAUACAUAGGCUUUAUUCUAAGAUGGUAAGGUUUUGUUUUUUUUUUCAGUUAUCAUUGAGAGGGUAAUCUUAACCACUAGAGCUAUCCAAAAUGAGAUGCCUCAAAAGAGGCAGUAGGUUCUCCCUCACUAGAAGACUUUGGUUAUAGUGGGAAAGACUAUUUAUACUCAUCACUGCUUGCCUGACUUGUGGCAAUAGUGUCCUACUUCAUUUCCUUGUUUUUGGACUCAUUAAUCAUUGGUAUAUCUUCCACAUCACUUCUAGACCAAACUUCCUAAAAUAUGGCUUCAAUUAGAAUCAUUUUCCCAGUCAAGUAUCUUCACUGGCUCCCUGUCCCCCCAAUAUCAAAUAUAUUCCCCAACUUGACUUUUACGUUCCUUCAUGACCUGGCUUCCUGCUACAUUUUCAUCUUUUAUGUGCCAGGUCAACUGACCUAUCUCUUCCCCAACUCAUAUUGACAUCUCUCACCUCUGCUCCUCUAUAUAGGUUGUUUUCCAUGCACAGAAUGAACUUCUUCACCUCCAGCAUUUGCAGCUUUUAAUAUCCUAUGAGGCUCAACUUAGCUACCAUUUCCUAUAGAAAGUCUCUUUUAUUCUCCCUCAUUGUUGGUGUUCUCUUAUUUCACAAAUUAUCUUCAUUUGCUUUUCUGUUUAUAUUCUACAUCUCUCAAUAGAAUAUUGAGAUCCUUGCAAGCAGGAUCUGUAUUUUUAUUUCUCUCUCUUUUUUCCCUCUGCACUUCACACAGUGCCUAUACUGUACUAUAUACAAAUGAAACAAAGUACUAUACUGUAUAAUAAGUCUAUACUGUUCAUGGAGGGUCUUUUAGCAAAGAUACUGAAGUGGUUUUCCAUUUCUUUCUCCAGUGGAUUAAAGGAAACACAGGUUAAUUAAUUUGUCUAUGGUCAUGCAGUGAGGAAAAGUCUGAGGCUGGAUUUGAAUUCACACCUUCCUGACUCCAGACCCAGUGCCUAUCCACUGAGAUAUCUGGCUGCCUUGAGUGCUGUAGUUGCUUAAGGAAUGAUUAUUGAUCACUUGUCAGGUAUUUCAUAAAGGGAAUUUUUGUUCACGUAAGGGUUGGACUAAGCAGCCUCUGAUGUCCUUCUCCAUUUCCCCCUUCUCUGUGUGUAACUUAACUUCUACCUUGAGGUAGUCAGUCAACAAGCAUGUGUUAGGUUCAUACUAUAUAACAAGCAUGGUUCUAAGUGAAGACAGAAGUACAAUAUAUCUUUAAGGUGCUUUCAUUAUAAUUGGGGAAGACAAUACAUAAAAGGGAGCCAAAAAGAGUGCCUUGGAGGUUCUGGGAGGGAUUGGCCAACCAGACAGUAAGUAGUUAGGAGUGGAGGGUACUUCUAAUGUUAGAAGUAGUCUGGAGGUGGAGAUAGUUUCCAGGGUUAAGAGGCUUCUAUAGCACAUUGGACCAGCUCUAUGGGGAUGAGUCACCAGGCUAGUCUAUCUAGGAGGGAAAGAAAAGCAUCUUUGGGCUAGAGUGUUCUCUUUAAAAGUCCUGUAGAUAUUGGAGGUCAUCUAAUAGGAAUUCUCUUCAAUUCCUCCUCAAAAUGUCUCAUUACAUUUCCCUAUUCUAUCUUCCUUUCCUCAUCUCAGAGUUAUCUACUUGUGAUGAAGGCAAAUUACUUACCUAUGUCUCAGAUUCCUUUUUUUCUCACCUCCCUCAUGGUCUUACUCCAGUAGUCAUUGUCAAGUCUCUCAGACACUUUAAACUCUCUUGCUCCUUUCUAUGUGCCAAAAUAUAUAUUUGCUUCUCUCUAUAGAUACAUCCAAACAUUGCUCCAAAGUUUUCCAUAGCUACAUAAGCAAACUUUUUCAGAAAAGAAACAAGAUGCUUUUCCCUGUCUCCAUUUCCUUUCUUUAAUCCUUUGCUGUUAUCUCCAGGGUCACUGAUGACUGCCUACAUCAAUAAAUCAAAUGAUUAUUUUUAUCUCUCACUCUUCUUUACAUAUCCACUGUAAUUUUGGACACUUAACCAUUCCCUCCUAUCAGACCACAGCUCUACCUUUAUUUUGAGAUAUCACACUCUCUGGGUCUCCUGCUACCUCUAUAACUAUGUUUUCUGUGUCCUUCUUUGACUCCUAUGCCUCUUUAAAAAACCUUACAGUUUCUCUUAGAAUCAAUAUUAAGUAUUGGUUCCAAGGCAGAAGAGCAGUAAGGACUAGGCAAUGGGGGUAAAGUGACUUGCCCACAGUCACACAGCUAGGAAGUGUCUGAGGCCAGCUUUGAACCAGCAUCUCCCAUUUCCAGACCUGACUCUUUAUCUUUGCCUAGCUGCUCUGCCAAUUCCUCUUCCUAAUCCCUCAACAUGGGUGUUACCCUUGUAUCUAUCCUUAGCCCUCUUCUUUCCUCUGUGCUUUCUCCCCUGGCAUUCUCGACCUUGACUUCAUAUAUCACCUCCAUGUAGAUAACCUCAAAUAUUAUGUUUCUAGCUCUGUCUUUUCUUCUAUGCUCCAGACCUGUUUCUCCAACUGCCUACAAGACAUCUGCUACUUCUUCUGACUUCAGUAUUUCCAUCAUAAUUCACCAGUGUCUCAUUUUGAAACUUUGAUAUCUUUAUCUUUAUUACCACCCACAUAUAAUCAGUAAGUAAGUCCUGCUGACUUUAUUUCUAUUGAGUGAGCAUUCUACUGCUAAAAGGGAACAUGUGAUGUUCUGGGAGGACUAGCACUUCUGGUGUGAAGACUUGUUGGGCCCUCUUCAGGGUUACGUAUGCACUUUAGGUGUCCACCUUUCACCCAAUUCUCACCUGCGGCUCCAAGAAGCCAUAGUGUGCUCAGCAGCAACACCCUGGUAAGUGGCAGACUAAAUCUCAAACUUUUUGGUGACUUAGGGAGUUGUUUACCGCAAGCAUAUGAAGACUUCCCCCAGAAGAAUGGAAAGAUGAGAACGGUGUUUUUCAAUGACCAUGAAGGCAACUGAAGCAGGUCCUAUGGAUGGCUUUAGAGCUUGGACAGACAUUGCAGAUACCAAGGUCAUUCAUUGCAUCCCAAAGCCAUCAUCAGUAGUGCUGACUUUUGUUAUGCCAUUGGGUUCUAGACUCUAGAAAUACCAUUGAAGAUACCAUAGUCAUUCAUUGCAUCCCAAUGACUCUAGAAGAGAAUGAAACUGAUGACUUUGUGCAAUUCUGCCUCACUUAACUUAAAUUCAUAUACUAGUCAAGACAUCACCCCAUGAUACCAUGGGUCUUCUUUGAAAAUGAAGAAUGAACAACAAUAAUCACUGCUACUACUCCACAAUUAUAGACCCUUGUAACUUGUUGGGAAUAUUGUUCUAGCAUCUAAAUUGUUUCCUUAUUUCUACUCUCUCCCCAACACCAUCUUGGAUACCAAUGAUAGCUUCAUAUUCCUAUACCAUAGACAUGAUCAUGUCACUCUGAUUUUGAAAAUCUUUCAUAGAAUUGAAUUGUUAUGAAUUGUGUUCUAAAUGUAGAGAAAUACAGUUCUAAUUAUAAUCUCAACUUGUAGAUGUCAUUUUUUGAUAGAGUUGAAAGCUUAUUUUGUGCUAGAAAGUUUCCUUUCAUCCUUUGUGCUAACUAGGAUCUCAUAGAACCACACAUGACCAAUCAAAAGAUUUAAAACUAAGCAAACUGAAUUCAGAUAAUGAAUUGUAUCGAACAAUCCCUGCUUGGGAAAACUGAUCAUCAAAUUCACUUCCCUCCUCUCUAUAGGAAGGUGGAAGGCUUUGGAGGUUCAGUGGUAUACAGGUUGUCACAUAAGUUGUGUUAGUUGUCUUGAAGAAAUACUUUUCUUUUUAUAAUGAAUAUUUUCAUAGAAGUUGAGUUAAGGGAAUCUGAAUAUAUCAAUGAAAAAGUAAAAAUUAAAAAGGAAGAAAAAAGAAAGUAUUCAGCACACCUGCUUCCCCUCUGAGGUAGCAUGAAAGAAUAGAAUUUUAAUCAAAUAAUAUUCAAUUUUCUCAGUGUGGCAUGUUAGUUAAAAACAAGUGAGCACAGUAGUGCCUAAUUGUUAGACUGACAUCUCUUAAUCAAGGUACAGAGAGCAACUUGAAUUACUAGCAACAGAACAGUCUGUAGUCUGGCACAAAUACCCAGUAACCAUCCAGCCAAGGUGGUAUCAAUAAAGAUGACUAUAUCUGCAUAUUUGUAUCUGUAUACAUAUAUGUGUGUAAGUAUAUAUAUAUGUGUAUAUAUGGACACAUAUGUAUAUGUAUAUGAAAUAGAAGAGAAGGCUUCUGAAAUGGUGUCUCUUUGGUUUGCUAGAAGAGAAUGAAAAGUAGCAAUAGCAGUGAUAGUAUACAUAUUUCCUUCUUUCAAACUCAUAAUAGCUAUUGUUAUUUAAAACAAAAUUCUUCAUUUAAGAUAUAGGAUUUGAAGUCUUGGAAAAGAGAUGGCAGUGAUGAUUUCAUGGAUGCCCUCCAUGUGUUAUUUUUGAUUGGUAAAAAUCACUUUUUUUCUGGGUCCUAUUCCUGCUUGUUCAUCCUAUACAGGCAAAAUACAUGUUUUGGGGGAAGAGCUGUGGGUUAUACUUUGAUGCUCAAGUGUCACUUCUCAUCUCCAUCAAUUUUGCAAGUGAGAAUAGUUUAAUAGUGGGAUGCUUCAGUGAGGGUCAGUCCCUACAGCAUGGAUGAGAUGGUUUCCAGAAAUGAGUGAUGGAGGGAGCCAUUCCUUCCCUGAUUUAGAGAUUAUCUUAUGACUGUUUCCCAUUUGCUUAUUAUGUGGUAAGAAAAAAUCUUUUACUUGCACUGAGUGUAAAAAGAAAAUCCUCAAACAGACAGAAAAAAAGUGAUUCCUCUCUUUCUUGGCAGCAUUAGAAUGAGAAAGAAGAACUGCUGUAGGAUUCUCCAGGUGAGAGGAAAGUCAGGACCAUGCUCUCCCCUUGCCUCUAAGUGGUUAUGAAUACAUGGUGCUAUUGGUUUUCUCUCAAUGUUUUGUUUAUUUUUUCUUGAUUUUAGUUAAAUGAGUUUCUAAGAUGGAAUGGAGUAGGUGAUGACAUAUUUAGAUCCUAAAGUUUGGAAGAGCCACCAGAGGUCCAUCACCUGUAGUCUCUGGCAGAGAUUUCCAAUGAGGAAUCAUCCUAAGGAGCAAUCUGCUUAAUCUGCUUGAUUAAUAGUGGACCAGCCAGGAAGGUGAAGUGCCAGAACCUGCAAGAAAACAGGGGACUCUUUCAUGGAUGUCUGCCAUCUGAUGCCAUGGAUGUCCCAAAGGCACAGGAAUCACUUCCCGAGAAAUCGUUGAUAUCCAUGGUCUAUUAAGAAAUCGGAGCUAGGAGAACAGCUGCCUUCUUUCAAGUUGACUAAAUUGAUUGGAGAGUAGCUGACCUAAGACCCUGUUUUUCUUUUUUCAUGGCCCAGACCAAGUACCAUUCCUCUGGAAUGCUGAAAGAAUGGAAGACGAUUUUACCCUUCCCUACAAGCAUAACUGCAACUGGUUGCAGAAACCAGUGGCUGAAUAGGACAUGGGCUUGUCCACAGAAUCUGAAAGGAAAAUACCUAAAAGUGGACUUUGCCCAAGAGAUUAUAGCAAGUGAGGUCCUGAGAGUUCCCGAAGAUCCACAUAACACAAGAAGCAAAUGUGUUUGCCUACAUGGACUCAAAAGGGAAUUCUUAGAUAAUAUUCCUGGAUUCUUAACCUCUUGGGCAAUAGCAGAGGAGUAGUUUAGUUUCCAAGACAGCAUGAUUCCAGCUUCUGACUAACCUAAAGCAUCCCAAGUCCCCUAACCUAUAUCCUGAAUCUGUCACCUGUGGAUUUAUCUGGAACAUUUGAGGGAGUUAUUUGUAUUUUUUGCUUGGGCCAUCUCUGGUGGUAAUAAACUUCCUAAGUUUACUACCCAGUGGGAAACACAAUACUUCCUCCUUUUUUUCCCAAAAUGUACCUUUUCCAUUGGGAUCCCUGUUUUAUAUCUUGAACUAACUAGUGCAUGUAUUUUAUCUUUUUUUUUUAAACCUGGAACUAGUAGCAGUAGCAAUGAAGCACUAAAUUCAUCCAGAAUAAAGACCUCCUUGAACUUUUCCCCAAAUAUGUUACCUAACAAACUCAAAAUCCUAGAAGUUUUCAGUUUAGACACAUUUUAAUCUUACUUGGAAUUCCUGGGAAAUUAAGGAGGUACUAUCAGAAUACUUUCAGAUAAAUUAUUCUUCCUAGUGCUAACAUGGCCAUGUUCACAGGAGUCUAGAUUUAAGCCUACACAAGAUAUGAGAUCCAAUCCCCUCAUUUUACAGAUGAGGAAUCAAUCCAGAUGGAGAAACUGCUUGUCUAGUUCCUUUAGGAGAUAAGUGGCAGAGCCAACAUUCCAAUUCAUGGGUUGGUUUCAAGCAAGCCCUCUCUCCAUUACAUCCCACAUACAUCUUACACUGUUAAAGGGCACAAGAGUUUUAUUAGUCAUUUUCUCAAAACAGUACAGUGAGGAAAACAUCAAUUACAUUAUAAUAACUAUUUUGCUAUGGAAAAAAUAAAUCUUGCAAAAGAGGAGUGAUUUCCCCAAGGCCAUACAGAUGAUAUAUUACAGAAUCAGGAUUGGUCUCUGGAUCCUCCAAAAAUAUAUUGAAAUAUGUGACAAUACUAAAUAUACAUAAGGGCAAAUAUGUCUUGAAAAUCUAAUCAUAUUUUUGGAAAGAUUCUAGCUCAAUUUGAAAUUUGGGGUUGUUGAUUUAUUUUUCUUUUUGUAAAAAUUCAAUUAUUUCCUAUAGAUACAACACUUGAAUGUUGAACAAUUGUAUUAAAUUAAUGAUUUUAUAAACUCCUGGCAUAAAACUAUCCCAUCCAUAAAACUAUCUCAUCCAUAAAACUAUCCCAUCCAUACCUAAAAGUGUUUGGUGCAAUUGUUAAGGAUAAUGACAGUAAAAAUGUCUUGCUUGUUUGAUAUCAGUCAAAUUUGCCUUUCAGAAACAGAGUUCAGUAGCAUUUGUUAUCACGUGUGUAAGAAGGAAAUUUAAACAGCCACUCGAUUAUAUUUAUUUGAGAAUCCUUUUAGUUUGUUACCUUGUAACUGUUUAAUUUAUAGUAAGUAUACUUACUACACAUUACACAGUCAAGAGUCUGUGUAUGUAACCAGAUUAAGGAUUUGCUCCCAGGAUAAUACCCGAAUUAUAAUUUCAAGUGUAUGUGUGUAUUGUUAUUUAUAUUGUUAUUUGUGUGUUGUAAUAUUAAUCACAAGUAAAUUACUAUGUUAAUCCUAAAUGUGUGAAUGCAUUGUAUUUAUAUCAAAUUAAAUCAAAUAUCAAAUAUCAAAUACCAAUUCUUGUAAGAAAUCACAGGGACCAGAAGUUCAUCCAAAGAUCAUGGAGACCAGGAGGUCCAGAAAUAGUCUUAAAGACCAGGAGAUCUGGAAAUGUCUCAGAGAAUAGAAGGUCUAGAAAUGGUCUAGAAAUAGUCGGAGAAACCAGGAGGGAUGGAAAAAUCUUUGGAGACAUUAUGAGGUAGGGAGUCUAGGGAAGGGGGAGCUGAGAGUGAUGGGGGACAGACAUUAAACAAUGAAAGUUGAGGAAUCUGUAGACUUCUGGCCCUGGGAUUUCUCUGUUACAAUAAAGCCAGAUCUUUACCCACAAAGGUCUCCCAGCAUCUUAUUUUUACAUGUGUGAUUCAAGUGCUUAUUCAUAUCCCAGCUUUAUGCCAAGGUUCAUGACUGAUUUCUGCAAACAGAAUCCAAUGGGACCUAAAAUUAGCAGAGAGACAGACAGACAAACAGAGAUAGAGAGAUAGAGAUAGAUUAAGGGAGGGGGAGAGAGAAGGAGGGGUGAUGGAAGAGAAGAAAAUCAGUGGUCAAAGUUUAAAGCUGAGUUUCAAAGCCCAGGCUUAGAAAGGACUAGUCACCAUAGCAACAGAAACAGCAAAUGCAGGAAUUGGGAAAUAGGAAGUGAACCUAAUGCUCAGGACUUGAAGGAUCAGAAAAAAGGGCUAAAGGAAAAGUGAAGCAAUAGGACUUCUUGUUAUAAUGGCUGGUGAGGGGUCACAGAGAAUCCUAUUUCUCCUAUAUUCACUUCAGCAAAAAUAUAAAAAGAGCACCAGACCAAAUAAUGAUGAAGAAAUUCAAAGAGAGACUAGAGCAAGUGCCUUCAUUCAGCCUAGGACUGUACAAAAAGAUAACCAGAAGCCUACAUCAGAGAUGUAAUAGUAAUAGAUGAAGGUAAAUAAGCCAGGGAAACCUGAAGCCUGGAACACCACAUCUGGGUAGGGGGAGGCAGGGCAGAAAGCAUUAGAAUAAAUCAAGGGAGAAACUCCUACAUCCUGCUAAAGCCACAAUGCUCUGACCACUCUGAAGAGGUACCUAAGAACAGAUAUAGGCAGAAAUCUGAUCUUGGUGCCCUAGAGAAGCUCAAAGUCCAUCCUGCUUUGACUUGAGAUACUCCAGAGGGCCCUGAAGCUUGCAGUACAUUCUACUGGGAAGGGUAGAAGUCUGGAAGGACCAGGUAGAGAAGCAGAAGAGGAGUCAAAAAUCCAUAUUUCUUUAACUGGUAGGUUAGGGAAAAGAAGCCAGCAGAACUUUGAUAAGGAGGCCACAGAGGGUCUGGAAGUAUUCCAGAAAAUAAUCUAAGAUACUCCAAAGGGUUCUGAAGAUGAGAGAAAUGGCAACUCAGAUGAUCUAAGAAGAUUCUAAUACCUGUAAGCAAACACACCAGGAGCAAUGAUAGUCAGUGGCAGAACUCCAGAUAAUCAAGGUAAAGUAGGGGAAAGGAAGACAGAAAAGGAUAUAUUUAUAUAAUUUAGCCUUCUAUGUAUCAAACACUUUGCUAAUCAUUUUACAAAUUUCUCACUUUAUCCUCAUGACAGCCCUAUAAAGUAGCUACUAUUAUAAUCCAUAUUUUACAGUUAAGGAAACUGAGAUGGACAGAGGUUAAAUGACUUUCAAAGAGAGGGUUACACAGCUAGUAAAUGAAUGAAACUAUAUUUGAGUUCAGGUCUUCCUGACUAGGGGUCUAACUCCUCCAAAUGGGGCUUGACCAUCCCAUCUGAGAAUGUGAAGGGGGAAGAAUCUGGUACUGGAACAGAGUUCCAAAUCAGGGACUAAGCUUAGAGAUAUAAAUAAACAUAAAACAUAGAAUAGUCUAAAGAAAUGGUAUGUCUCAAGAGAUGUCACAGGAGUAUAACCAAAAGAAGAAAAUGAAUCUAUAACAACUCAAGACUAGAAGCAGUGCCUCAGAGGGGGAAAAACAAACAGAAACAAAACCAGCCAAAUAAAUAAAAAGAUUGGCCACAAGAAACACAAGAUUACCUGGAAGAAAUAAAAGAAGACAAGUAAUAAAUGAAAUGAGAAAGAAUUCUAGAAGAAAGAAUCGAACAGCUUAAACCAGAAGUUAUAAAACCUUAUCCAAACAAUGGAUUCUCAGAAUAUUAGAAUGGGUCAAAAAGAACUCAAUUAUUCCAUCACUCAUUAAAAAUAUUCAAACAAAAUUCAAAAUUCAAUAAAGUGAAUGAAAUGUAAAGCAUCUAUUU
Monodelphis domestica (gray short-tailed opossum) is the source of this 10335-nucleotide non-coding RNA. NCBI's taxonomy places the organism in Eukaryota, Metazoa, Chordata, Mammalia, Didelphimorphia, Didelphidae. The record is from RefSeq and is a predicted model, not a curated record.